RNAcentral lists this ribosomal RNA (343 nucleotides) under uncultured fungus. RNAcentral describes it as "SSU rRNA". It matches the Rfam family "Eukaryotic small subunit ribosomal RNA", at positions 292 to 636 of the family's 1831-position model. The record is from RNAcentral. Lineage: Eukaryota; Fungi.
GGUUCAUUCAAAUUUCUGCCCUAUCAACUUUCGAUUGUAAGAUAGAGGCUUACAAUGGUCUUAACGGGUAACGGGGAAUUAGGGUUCUAUUCCGGAGAGGGAGCCUGAGAAACGGCUACCACAUCCAAGGAAGGCAGCAGGCGCGCAAAUUACCCAAUCCCGACCGGGGAGGUAGUGACAAUAAAUAACGACAUAGGGCUCUUUCGGGUCUUAUAAUUGGAAUGAGUACAAUUUAAAUCUCUUAACGAGGAACAAUUGGAGGGCAAGUCUGGUGCCAGCAGCCGCGGUAAUUCCAGCUCCAAUAGCGUAUAUUAAAGUUGUGCAGUUAAAAAGCUCGUAGUAG